This is a non-coding RNA of Pelobates cultripes (western spadefoot toad), 236 nucleotides long. NCBI's taxonomy places the organism in Eukaryota, Metazoa, Chordata, Amphibia, Anura, Pelobatidae. The record is from the annotation of a GenBank genome assembly.
CCCUGUUCCCUAUACUCCUAGAGUUACAUGAAUGUCUAGUUUAACUUUCAUAUCUUGUAUUGUUUAAAAAAUAAAAAAUAGGCUGUUUUACGCUGGAGUUACAAAUGACAAUGUAUGUACAAUACGCAUAUGCCAAGUGUUCCUUGUUUGACACUCCGUUCGUGAAAUAUGUCCAGACAAAUGAACCCCAUCCCUCCUCAGGACAUUGGAGUUCUCCCCUUCCAGCUCCACAUGCC